RNAcentral lists this ribosomal RNA (253 nucleotides) under uncultured bacterium. RNAcentral describes it as "partial 16S ribosomal RNA". It matches the Rfam family "Bacterial small subunit ribosomal RNA", at positions 524 to 776 of the family's 1533-position model. The record is from RNAcentral.
GACAGAGGGUGCAAACGUUGUUCGGAAUUACUGGGCGUAAAGCGCGUGUAGGCGGCGUAGCAAGUCGGGCGUGAAAGCCCACGGCUCAACCGUGGAAGAGCACUCGAAACUGCUGCGCUAGAGUUCUGGAGAGGAAGGCGGAAUGCUUGGUGUAGAGGUGAAAUUCGUAGAUAUCAAGCGGAACACCGGUGGCGAAGGCGGCCUUCUGGACAGUGACUGACGCUGAAACGCGAAAGCGUGGGGAGCGAACAGG